AUUUAUAUAGUUUAAUCAAAAUUUAAUAUUGAAGAUAUUAAGAUAAUUUUUAUAUUUAUAAAUA
RNAcentral lists this transfer RNA (64 nucleotides) under Nasonia longicornis. RNAcentral describes it as "tRNA-Phe". The record is from RNAcentral. Lineage: Eukaryota; Metazoa; Arthropoda; Insecta; Hymenoptera; Pteromalidae.